Long non-coding RNA from Bufo gargarizans (Asiatic toad), 1213 nucleotides. RefSeq lists it as uncharacterized. The transcript is spliced from 3 exons. NCBI's taxonomy places the organism in Eukaryota, Metazoa, Chordata, Amphibia, Anura, Bufonidae. The record is from RefSeq and is a predicted model, not a curated record.
UUUCGCGAUAGUUCCAGGCUGCGCUGUCAGUCAGAGAACUUCUGAGCCAAUCAGCGCGAGGAAGGGGCGGGGCGUGCGAGACAGCUCCCGAAGAGUCUGGAAGAUGCCCGGAGACUGUGUGACCGGGAGCGGCGAUUAUCGGCGAUGAGAAGGCUACAUUUAGGCGAGGCCUGGGCCAUACCAGCCAGUCUUCAGUGGGACUCGCAGAUUCCAUGGCCACAUGCUGGAGGUAACUGAUUCUGUAUCCGGCAUGCUCGUCAGUCUUCAAGAUUUUGGAGCCUGUGCACUCACAGAUGAGGAGGAUGAGGAUGGAGAACACGUCACCCACGAGAUCGCCGUCACUUUCCUUCCCACCCUGGAAGAAACUUUCUCAGUGCACAGUUAGGCGUCCUCCAUGUGCUCUCUGCAUUUUUUUGGAUAGCACACUGUUCCAUUCAUUUCUAUGGGAGCAUGCACACAUCCAUAUUUUUUGUGGAUUCAUAUGACUAUUCUGCAAACUAAAGAACCUGUGCUGUUCUGGACCAGAAUAGUCAUUUCUAUUGAUAGGAGUGAGAAAAUAUGGCAUGCACAAGGGGAGGGAUCUGUAUUUUGCAGAUCCAUGGUUUGCAGACUCAAACCGCAUGCAUGAGGCCUAACAGUCAGAGACACUCACAUGCUGGCUGCAGACAAACUUGGGGUGAAAAGUAAUAUUUUAUAUGUUCCAAAUCAGGGAUGACGUCUGCAGAUUGUCCGGAGAAAUCUAGACCCAAAGCUGGGACUACAAACAGUGAGGUGGGAAAACUGAGAUCCCAUAGAGAUCAUUGAAUUUGUGUCUGUGAAGGUUCUCAUUCAUCCAGUUCAUGGCAUAUGCUGUAUUUUCCGCACUAUAAGACACACCUAGGGUUUCAGGGGAGGAAAAUGAGAAAAACAUAGUUUUCAUCAGACCUUAGAUCAGACAAAAAUUGCAGUGCUGCACUGUGACCUGACAGUGUCAGGUCAUAGUGCCCGCUUACUUACCUGACUCUGUACGUUGCAGCACACAGCUUCAGCACCCAGAGGAGACGACCAGGGAGCGGUGAGUAAAGCCAGCACCAGGUUCACUAUAUUCACUGAUCCCCAGUCUGACUGUAAUAAUGACCACUUCUGAAAGCGCUCAUUAGUAUUCACAUUAUAAGGCCUCAUGCACACGACCGUAGUUCGGGUCCGCAUCCGAGCCGCAGCUUUUGCGGCUCGG